AGACAGCCAGGAAAAUGCUGAUAAAAAUGAAGAUGGUGGGGAGAAGAACAUGGAAGACUCAGGGCA
Molecule: unclassified non-coding RNA, 66 nt
Filed under: Betapolyomavirus macacae
Lineage: Floreoviria; Shotokuvirae; Cossaviricota; Papovaviricetes; Sepolyvirales; Polyomaviridae
Description: Macaca mulatta polyomavirus 1 miscellaneous RNA
Source: RNAcentral